RNAcentral lists this transfer RNA (73 nucleotides) under Bos taurus (domestic cattle). It matches the Rfam family "tRNA". From Rfam's summary of the family: Transfer RNA (tRNA) molecules are approximately 80 nucleotides in length. Their secondary structure includes four short double-helical elements and three loops (D, anti-codon, and T loops). Lineage: Eukaryota; Metazoa; Chordata; Mammalia; Artiodactyla; Bovidae. RNAcentral also lists the same sequence under 2 other names. The record is from Rfam by way of RNAcentral.
UCCUUGGUGGUCCAGCGGCUAAGACUCCAAGUUCUCAAUUCAGUGGGCCUGGGUUCGAUCCCUGGUCAGGGAA